Molecule: transfer RNA, 53 nt
Filed under: Colletotrichum sublineola
Lineage: Eukaryota; Fungi; Ascomycota; Sordariomycetes; Glomerellales; Glomerellaceae
Rfam family: tRNA
About the family: Transfer RNA (tRNA) molecules are approximately 80 nucleotides in length. Their secondary structure includes four short double-helical elements and three loops (D, anti-codon, and T loops).
Source: Rfam by way of RNAcentral
AGAGCGUGAGACUCUUAAUCUCAAGGUUGCGGGUUCGACCCCCGCGUGAGGCU